This 245-nucleotide ribosomal RNA is filed under the name uncultured bacterium. RNAcentral describes it as "partial 16S ribosomal RNA". It matches the Rfam family "Bacterial small subunit ribosomal RNA", at positions 528 to 772 of the family's 1533-position model. The record is from RNAcentral.
UAGGUGGCGAGCGUUGUCCGGAUUUACUGGGCGUAAAGGGAGCGUAGGCGGAUUCUUAAGUGGGAUGUGAAAUACCCGGGCUCAACCUGGGUGCUGCAUUCCAAACUGGGAAUCUAGAGUGCAGGAGGGGAGAGUGGAAUUCCUAGUGUAGCGGUGAAAUGCGUAGAGAUUAGGAAGAACACCAGUGGCGAAGGCGACUCUCUGGACUGUAACUGACGCUGAGGCUCGAAAGCGUGGGGAGCAAA